CACCCACUCUUACAUUAGAGAUAGACAGGGCUCACAUCUUCUCCCACAUAAUACACAGGUGGGGGGGUAUUCACUCCUUGGGUACACAUGGGUGGGGUUCACAAACAGAAGAAUAUUAUACACUGGUGCCGGCAUUCACUCCUAGGGGUCAGAUCAAUUUCCAACGACAUUCACUCCCACAUAAUACAUGGGCUGAAGGGGGCGGGUUACUCCAAUCCCCACCAUUUCAAAGGUGAGAUCAAAACUUUUCCUCAUACUACUAAGGUGGCGCCUACAGCAUAGGUCAGGCCAAGCACAUUCCCACUUACUACAUAGGUCGGGCCAAACACAUUCCCACACUCAGAAUGGGUCUGAAAACAUUCCCACUUACUACAUUGGUGGGGCUUACUACAAAGGUGGGGCUGAAAACAUUCCCACUUACUACAUAGGUGGGGCUGAAAACAUUCCCACAUACUACAUAGGUGGGGCUUACUACAAAGGUGGGGCUGAAAACAUUCCCACAUACUACAUUGGUGGGGCUUACUACAAAGGUGGGGCUGAAAACAUUCCCACAUACUACAUGGGUGGGGCUUACUACAAAGGUGGGGCUGAAAACAUUCCCACAUACUACAUUGGUGGGGCUUACUACAAAGGUGGGGCUGAAAACAUUCCCACAUACUACAUGGGUGGGGCUUACUACAAAGGUGGGGCUGAAAACAUUCCCACAUAC
Haliotis rubra (blacklip abalone) is the source of this 709-nucleotide long non-coding RNA. RefSeq lists it as uncharacterized. The transcript is spliced from 5 exons. The record is from RefSeq and is a predicted model, not a curated record. NCBI's taxonomy places the organism in Eukaryota, Metazoa, Mollusca, Gastropoda, Lepetellida, Haliotidae.